Non-coding RNA from Dermacentor silvarum, 83 nucleotides. NCBI's taxonomy places the organism in Eukaryota, Metazoa, Arthropoda, Arachnida, Ixodida, Ixodidae. The record is from the annotation of a RefSeq genome assembly.
GCAGUCGUGGCCGAGUGGUUAAGGCGAUGGAAUAGAAAUCCAUUGGGGUGUCCCCGCACAGGUUUCAAAUCCUGUCGACUGCG